UAGGGAAUCUUCGGCAAUGGGGGGAACCCUGACCGAGCAACGCCGCGUGAGUGAAGAAGGUUUUCGGAUCGUAAAGCUCUGUUGUUAAGGAAGAACGAGUGUGAGAAUGGAAAGUUCAUACUGUGACGGUAGUUAACCAGAAAGGGACGGCUAACUACGUGCCAGCAGCCGCGGUAAUACGUAGGUCCCGAGCGUUGUCCGGAUUUAUUGGGCGUAAAGCGAGCGCAGGCGGUUAGAUAAGUCUGAAGUUAAAGGCAGUGGCUCAAUCAUUGUAGGCUUUAGAAACUGUUUAACUUGAGUGCAGAAGGGGGGAGUGGAAUUCCAUGUGUAGCGGUGAAAUGCGUAGAUAUAUGGAGGAACACCGGUGGCGAAAGCGGCUCUCUGGUCUGUAACUGACGCUGAGGCUCGAAAGCGUGGGGAGCGAACAGG
RNAcentral lists this ribosomal RNA (429 nucleotides) under Bacteroidota bacterium. RNAcentral describes it as "Bacteroidetes bacterium partial 16S ribosomal RNA". It matches the Rfam family "Bacterial small subunit ribosomal RNA", at positions 355 to 776 of the family's 1533-position model. The record is from RNAcentral. Lineage: Bacteria; Pseudomonadati; Bacteroidota.